This 1414-nucleotide ribosomal RNA is filed under the name bacterium NLAE-zl-P486. RNAcentral describes it as "bacterial SSU rRNA". It matches the Rfam family "Bacterial small subunit ribosomal RNA". The record is from RNAcentral.
GGCUACCAUGCAGUCGAGGGGCAGCAUGGUCUUAGCUUGCUAAGGCCGAUGGCGACCGGCGCACGGGUGAGUAACACGUAUCCAACCUGCCGUCUACUCUUGGACAGCCUUCUGAAAGGAAGAUUAAUACAAGAUGGCAUCAUGAGUCCGCAUGUUCACAUGAUUAAAGGUAUUCCGGUAGACGAUGGGGAUGCGUUCCAUUAGAUAGUAGGCGGGGUAACGGCCCACCUAGUCUUCGAUGGAUAGGGGUUCUGAGAGGAAGGUCCCCCACAUUGGAACUGAGACACGGUCCAAACUCCUACGGGAGGCAGCAGUGAGGAAUAUUGGUCAAUGGGCGAGAGCCUGAACCAGCCAAGUAGCGUGAAGGAUGACUGCCCUAUGGGUUGUAAACUUCUUUUAUAAAGGAAUAAAGUCGGGUAUGNAUACCCGUUUGCAUGUNCUUUAUGAAUAAGGAUCGGCUAACUCCGUGCCAGCAGCCGCGGUAAUACGGAGGAUCCGAGCGUUAUCCGGAUUUAUUGGGUUUAAAGGGAGCGUAGAUGGAUGUUUAAGUCAGUUGUGAAAGUUUGCGGCUCAACCGUAAAAUUGCAGUUGAUACUGGAUAUCUUGAGUGCAGUUGAGGCAGGCGGAAUUCGUGGUGUAGCGGUGAAAUGCUUAGAUAUCACGAAGAACUCCGAUUGCGAAGGCAGCCUGCUAAGCUGCAACUGACAUUGAGGCUCGAAAGUGUGGGUAUCAAACAGGAUUAGAUACCCUGGUAGUCCACACGGUAAACGAUGAAUACUCGCUGUUUGCGAUAUACGGCAAGCGGCCAAGCGAAAGCGUUAAGUAUUCCACCUGGGGAAGUACGCCGGCAACGGUGAAACUCAAAGGAAUUGACGGGGGCCCGCACAAGCGAAGGAACAUGUGGGUUAAUUCGAUGAUACGCGAGGAACCUUACCCGGGCUUAAAUUGCAGAUGAAUUACGGUGAAAGCCGUAAGCCGCAAGGCAUCUGUGAAGGUGCUGCAUGGUUGUCGUCAGCUCGUGCCGUGAGGUGUCGGCUUAAGUGCCAUAACGAGCGCAACCCUUGUUGUCAGUUACUAACAGGUUCCGCUGAGGACUCUGACAAGACUGCCAUCGUAAGAUGUGAGGAAGGUGGGGAUGACGUCAAAUCAGCACGGCCCUUACGUCCGGGGCUACACACGUGUUACAAUGGGGGGUACAGAGGGCCGCUACCACGCGAGUGGAUGCCAAUCCCAAAAACCUCUCUCAGUUCGGACUGGAGUCUGCAACCCGACUCCACGAAGCUGGAUUCGCUAGUAAUCGCGCAUCAGCCACGGCGCGGUGAAUACGUUCCCGGGCCUUGUACACACCGCCCGUCAAGCCAUGGGAGCCGGGGGUACCUGAAGUGCGUAACCGCGAGGAGCGCCUNGGNAAUUG